UGGGGAAUAUUGGACAAUGGGCGAAAGCCUGAUCCAGCAAUGCCGCGUGAGUGAUGAAGGCCCUAGGGUUGUAAAGCUCUUUUACCCGGGAUGAUAAUGACAGUACCGGGAGAAUAAGCCCCGGCUAACUCCGUGCCAGCAGCCGCGGUAAUACGGAGGGGGCUAGCGUUGUUCGGAAUUACUGGGCGUAAAGCGCACGUAGGCGGCUUUGUAAGUCAGAGGUGAAAGCCCGGAGCUUAACUCCGGAAUUGCCUUUGAGACUGCAUCGCUUGAAUCCAGGAGAGGUGAGUGGAAUUCCGAGUGUAGAGGUGAAAUUCGUAGAUAUUCGGAAGAACACCAGUGGCGAAGGCGGCUCACUGGACUGGUAUUGACGCUGAGGUGCGAAAGCGUGGGGAGCAAACA
RNAcentral lists this ribosomal RNA (402 nucleotides) under uncultured Sphingomonas sp. Its description in RNAcentral is "partial 16S ribosomal RNA". It matches the Rfam family "Bacterial small subunit ribosomal RNA", at positions 355 to 774 of the family's 1533-position model. The record is from RNAcentral. RNAcentral also lists the same sequence under 1 other name. Lineage: Bacteria; Pseudomonadati; Pseudomonadota; Alphaproteobacteria; Sphingomonadales; Sphingomonadaceae.